The sequence is a non-coding RNA, 348 nucleotides long. It matches the Rfam family "Alphaproteobacteria transfer-messenger RNA". Rfam says of the family: Bacterial tmRNA, also known as 10Sa RNA or SsrA, is named for its dual tRNA and mRNA-like properties. Its role is to liberate the mRNA from a stalled ribosome. To accomplish this part of the tmRNA is used as a reading frame that ends in a translation stop signal. The record is from Rfam.
CGGCUUGAUAAACGGUCCGCGCCUCUCCAUAUAGGCCCGUGCCGGGUUCGCCCGGCUAUGGUGAUAAAUUGUGUCGUGCAAUAGGCGCAGCGGACCCGGGGGCGGUACCCGGCGGCUCCACCACAUAUCCCCUUUCGCGAGGGGGGUGUUUGACGGGGCCGAACUAGGAUCGACGUGUGUUGAAAAGCGAUAUUUUCACCCGGCCUGAGUAAGCCGUAAAAAGGUUCAAAACUCACAAGUGCCAACGAUAACGAGGCUCUUGCUCUUGCUGCGUAAUUGAUGGCCUCACGGCCGGACAUUACUCAAAAAGAACGCGGUUGAACCCACCGGGCAACAGAAGGGAAUUCA